Non-coding RNA from Dermacentor andersoni, 1457 nucleotides. The record is from RefSeq and is a predicted model, not a curated record. NCBI's taxonomy places the organism in Eukaryota, Metazoa, Arthropoda, Arachnida, Ixodida, Ixodidae.
AUUUCCUGAGACGGAGGCAUCUCUGCACCACAAAGGAGACUGCGGCACUAUGCAGCCUGAACAGCACGACAAAGCAUCUGAUCUGCCUGCUUUGACAAGAUGUGGCUGGGCCUGCAGAAAGAGUGUAAGCACACUACUGUGUUGCUGAUCAGUGCUGGUGCUGAUCUCUACGUCUGAGUUGGCCUCACAACGUCCAGGCGCCACUGUGCUUUGCUUCAUUGACAAGGUGUGGCUGGGCCUGCAGAAAAGCUGUAAGCAGACUGCAGUGUUGCUGAUCAGUGCUGAUCUCCACGUCCGAGUUGGUCCCACAAUAUCCAGGCACCACGGUGCUUUCACAAGGUUCACAAUCGAAAUGGGUUAUUUAUUUGUGCUAGUAAGUGGAUGUGGGUAAACCAAGCCAGAACGGACAGCAAGUUUGCCAGGGAGAUUGCCCGAUGCUUGUGGCAGGCACAGGAAUUAAUCCACAGGAGUGUUACGAGCAAAAGUAUGUAUGCGAAAGCUAAAGGAAGGUGGUGAGGCCAAGCCAGCGUUGACACCACAAAAUCUUGGUCCAUAUCUUAGUAAGUAGACCCUGUCCUGCUAGCUCAUGUUUUCAUAAGGAUUGCAAAGUGUUUGGAAGUUAAAGGAGUAAUGCCUAUCACACGGUGCUUUUUCUGCACGAAUAUAAUGGGCUGUCGGUAAGAUCGGGUUGUAUUGAGGUGAUCUCUCAUAUGGGCCGACACAGUUUACAUCUACACAUCAGGGGCAUGCAUAGCUGUAUGCGUAUAUUUAGUGCUGUGCUCUAGCUCGCUAACAAAAACUAUCAUUUAGUUUCUAUAGUGGUAUUAAAGGUGCAUUAAUCUUUCCUAUAAACAAUUCUGCACUGGCAUCUAUGCAGUGUUUUCCGUCUGCAUAUUCCGCAGUGCGGUAGCAAAGAGCUGUGCUAUCUGUGUAUUCACUUGCAUGAGCUUGUUAUACUUGUUCAUUUAAUGUAAAAUACUUGUGGAAAAGUAUUAGACUAUUUCUGUGGUCUUGUAUUGCAAUUCUGCAGCCAUUUAUAUUGUUUGUAAAACACGAACAUUUAACAGAGACAGGAACAAGACAAUGCGAGGACGAGCACUUGCUUUCAACUGCUGUGGUUAAUGUUGAAAUAUCAAUUUACAUAGGGAAAAAGCUCAUAAGCCUCCGUGUUUUCUUUUUCCUGUUUCUCUGUGAGAUUUUCACGCUUUACUCAAUAUCAUGCAAGAACCAGCCCAUUCAGUUAUGCAGUGGAGCCACCUAUUGUGCAUGUCAGUUCCAAUGGCUUGUUAGAAUCUAACAGUGCCGGCUGCUUUGUUUACAUUUUUUUGCAGAGGCAUACGAGCACUUUGUUUCAAAAACGCCAAGCACCGUGGAUACAGAGGCAAAGAUGCUGAAGGACCUGAACAAGCACCCGGCCACCAUGCUUCGGGAUGCAAAAUAAAGAUGGUUUGUGUUAA